This 2610-nucleotide ribosomal RNA is filed under the name Spirula spirula. RNAcentral's name for it is "bacterial SSU rRNA". It matches the Rfam family "Eukaryotic small subunit ribosomal RNA". The record is from RNAcentral. Lineage: Eukaryota; Metazoa; Mollusca; Cephalopoda; Spirulida; Spirulidae.
AGCUUAAGCCAUGCAAGUGUAAGUUCACGCCACGCAUUAGAACGGGCGAAACCGCGAAUGGCUCAGGAACCGGACCUAAUCCUCGGGACCGUAAUCCUCCUCGGAGGCGAUGGAUAACUGUGGCAAUUCUAGAGCUAAUACAUGUGACACAGGCCGCGAUCGGUCGGCGCGUCGUCGUCGCCUCGCCUCGUUGCGCGUUGGCACGCGCGUCGACCGUUCCGGGUCGCGGCGCUACAUAUUAGACUGAGACCGAUGCGCGUUAUUCCGUCCUCCCGUCCUCCUCGAUGCCUACUUCGGCUGUAGGCUGCGGUUACUCGGCGGCGCUCACGCGUCGUCGUUUGCCGUUCCUCGUCGUCGUCGUAACGUGUCGUGCGUGUCUGUCGGGGCUAAAGGGCGGCGCGCUCCGCUUUGGUGACUCUGGAUAACUCACUGGUCGAUCGCACGGGCUUUCACGCCUGGCGACGGGUCUCUCGAGGGUCCGCCCUAUCAACUGUCGACGGUCGGUUAAGUGCCUACCGUGGUUACUACGGGUAACGGGGAAUCGGGGUUCGAUUCCGGAGAGGGAGCAUGCGAAACGGCUACCACAUCCAAGGAAGGCAGCAGGCGCGCAAAUUACCCACUCCCGGCACGGGGAGGUAGUGACGAAAAAUAACGACGCGGGACUCUGUCGAGGCCCCGCGAUCGGAAUGAGUACACUUCAAAUCCGUUAACGAGGACCAACCGGAGGGYAAGUCUGGUGCCAGCAGCCGCGGUAAUUCCAGCUCCGGCAGCGUAUAUUAAAGUUGUUGCGGUUAAAAAGCUCGUAGUCCGAACUCGGGUUCGUGGUCGUUUAUUCGGCCCCGGGGCGGCGGCGCCAUCGUCCGUCGUUGACUUUGGUCGUCCGUGCGCAUUCCCGGCCCUUUCCGCCGGUGUCAACCGCUUUGCAUAUCCGCCACGCGGUCCUGCCGGCGGAGAUAUUGCGACGAGCGGUGGUAGGGGGAGUUCGAGGUGGAGAUGUUCGCGGUUUCGUUCGGUGGCGUCUCGCGCUCGGUAUAUAGGGAUGAUUGAGGGGUGUGGUGGCGUUUUUGGGUGUCGGAGUUUCAGAGGGAAGUGCGCUCGGCGGGACGAAGAAGAAGAGCGGCGAAGAGUACGGGGAGUUGGUUGGUUGUCGUUGUAAAAGGCGACUUCCUCUCUCUCCCUCGCUCUCUCGCUCUCUCUCUCUCUCUAUCUCUCCUCCACUUCUUUUCCUUUUUCUCCGUUCUCAUCGUGCCCACCUUCGUCUUCUCUCUCUGUCCUAACCCCGUGGUCGUGGUCGUYGCCUUUCUUCCGCUUCUCUUCUGUCCUUGUCUCUCUUCUGCUGYCGUCUCUGCGCGAGUCUUUCUUCGUGUCUGUUUGCGCGUGUGCGCGGUCGGCGGUUUCUCCUCCAAGGGUGCUCUUGACCGAGUGUCCGCGGCGGCCGGUACGUUCACUUUGAAAAAAUUAGAGUGCUCAGAGCGGGCUGUUCAAGCUUGCAUACGAUAAGCAUGGAAUGAUGGAAGAGGGCCUCGUCUACGUCUGUCGGUCUCCGUCUACGGCGAGGCAAUGAUCGAAGGGAGCGGUCGGGGCCACUCGUAUUGCGACGUUAGAGGUGAAAUUCUUGGAUCGUCGCAAGACGAACUGCAGCGAUGGCGUGUGGCAAGCACGUUUUCCUCGAUCAAGAGCGAAAGUCGGAGGUUCGAAGACGAUCAGAUACCGUCGUAGUUCCGACCGUAAACGAUGCCGACCGGCGAUCCGCCGGCGUUCGCUUCCAUGACCCGGCGGGUAGCCUGCGGKAAACCAGAGUUCGGUUCCGGGGGGAGUAUGGUUGCAAASCUGAAACUUAAAGGAAUUGACGGAAGGGCACCACCAGGAGUGGAGCCUGCGGCUUAAUUUGACUCAACACGGGAAAACUCACCCGGUCCGGACACCGGUAGGAUUGACAGAUCGAUAGCUCUUUCUCGAUUCGGUGGGUGGUGGUGCAUGGCCGUUCUUAGUUGGUGGAGCGAUCCGUCUGGUUGAUUCCGAUAACGAACGAGACUCCGGCCUGCUAACUAGUGCGCCGAUGUGUGUGUUUUUUUACGGCGGGCUCGUCGUCGGCGUUAAUUCGUCGUACGCCGCGGGUCCGGGUCGGUUUCUCACGCACUUCUUAGAGGGACGGGUGGCAGAAAGCCACACGAGGCGGAGCAAUAACAGGUCUGUGAUGCCCUUAGAUGUCCGGGGCCGCACGCGCGCUACACUGGAGGUAUCAGCGGGGACUUCGCCCCGGCCCGAGAGGGUCGGGAAACCUCUCAACCACCUCCCGUGAUAGGGAUCGGGGCCUGUAACCAACCCCGUGAACGAGGAAUUCCCGGUAGGCGCGGGUCAACAGCCCGCGUCGAUCACGUCCCUGCCCUUUGUACACACCGCCCGUCGCUACUACCGAUCGAACGGUCCGGUGAGGUCCUCGGAUCUGGCCGACGACGCCGCCGGGUAACGCUCGUGCGCAAUGGCGAUCGGUUGCGGCCUCGCCGUAGUCGUCGUUAAUCGUGCGUUUUGUCGCCUCGGCGUUCGAUGCCUGGAGAAGACGACCGAACCCGAUCGUUUAGAGGAAGUAAAAGUCGUAACAAGGUUUCC